Molecule: ribosomal RNA, 680 nt
Filed under: uncultured anaerobic ammonium-oxidizing bacterium
Lineage: Bacteria
Description: bacterial SSU rRNA
Rfam family: Bacterial small subunit ribosomal RNA
Source: RNAcentral
AAGUCAGAUGUGAAAGCCUCCUGUUCAACAGAAGAAUUGCAUCUGAAACUGCGAGUCUUGAGUGUAGGAGGGGAGGAUGGAACUUCUGGUGGAGCGGUGAAAUGCGUAGAUAUCAGAAGGAACGCCGGCGGCGAAAGCGAUUCUCUGGCCUAUUACUGACACUCAGUGUGCGAAAGCUAGGGGAGCAAACGGGAUUAGAUACCCCGGUAGUCCUAGCCGUAAACGAUGGGCACUAAGUAGAGGGAAUUACCGAUGUUCUCUCUGCCGUAGCUAACGCAUUAAGUGCCCCGCCUGGGGAGUACGGCCGCAAGGCUAAAACUCAAAAGAAUUGACGGGGGCUCGCACAAGCGGUGGAGCAUGUGGCUUAAUUCGAUGCAACGCGAAAAACCUUACCGGGGCUUGACAUGGUAGAAGUAGGAACCCGAAAGGGUAACGAACGGUAUCCAGUCCGUAGCUAUCACAGGUGUUGCAUGGCUGUCGUCAGCUCGUGUCGUGAGACGUUGGGUUAAGUCCCCUAACGAGCGAAACCCUUGUUUUUAGUUACCAGCGGGUUAUGCCGGGUACUCUAGAAAGACUGCCGUCGUCAAGACGGAGGAAGGUGGGGAUGACGUCAAGUCAUCAUGGCCCUUAUGCCCCGGGCUGCACACGUGCUACAAUGGUCGGUACAAACGGAAGCGAAG